AAAAAAAAAAAGAAAAAAAAAGUGAAAUGUGUCAAAAUGUUGUAUGGUCUUUUGUCAUAUGAAUUAGUAGCAUUCAUAUGUGACAUGCAACUUUUUAAUUUUUAAUCAAAUCGAUUAUGUAUGAAAAAACAAAGGAAUCAAUUUUUCUAGAGCUCCUUGAUUCUAUUAGGAAGCUUUGUCAAUAUUAUUUUUGUGCUACCAUUGUAGGAAAGUGUAAAUUGAUCAAUUACAAAAAAAUGUAAAUUGAGUGUAUUUUAAAAAUUAAUUGAGGGCUUUACAGGAAAUGUAAAUUGUUAUGGUUGAAAAGUAAAUUUGUACAGUUGAAAAAGUAAAUGAUUGCUUGAAAUGAUAAAGCCAAUGCUUUGAAAAGUAAAUUCAUUAUUUGAUUGCACUAAAAGUAUUGCACAAUCAUUUAAUGCAAAAUUGCGCAACAAAAGUAAAUAAGAGCUUGAAUGAAUUUGAAUUAAAAAUAUGUAUUGCUUGAACAAGUAAAAUACAAUUAAUUAAUAGAAAAAGUAAAUGGAAAACUUAUCUAAAUCUACUAAGAGCUUGCUAUGAAUUUGACAUUGUAAAGUAAAUUUAUCUGUUAUGUUGCUGAAUGGAUGGAGAGGGGCUAAAAGUUGCAUAUGCUACUUCUUUUAUAGCUUCUCCUUGCUUAGUGAUCACGCUCAUUAUACUAACAUACUUUGUUGCCAUAACUACUCUCGGUGACUAGCCACUUCAAUAAUUGCUCUCCUAACUUCCAAGCCAAUAAAUGUUGUUAUUUAUCCAAACACUAGCCUUUAGCUCAAUGUAUCUGCAUUUUUUGGCUUAGUUGUUACUCUUGCUCUUAAAUAAUUUAUUGGAUUUGGAUGUUGAGUCAUGGAUAUGGGUCAUGUAUUUGGGUUAUGGGUUAGGCUUUCCACAUGGGCUUUUCAUGGAUUUUGAUUAAUUUUAGGUGCAAACCUAAUUAAUUAAUCAAGCCUACGCCUUAAAAUUAAUUAUGGUGCAAACAAUUAUCAUCUGUGUAUAUCUUAUAAAAUUAAGCUAAUGCGCUUUUUGAACAAUUAUUUUCUCCUUCAAAAUGCCAUGCCUCCUAAAUACUAUAUUAUACAUUUAUGUAAUGAGUUUUUGGCAGUAGUUGAGAUGAGUAUUGAGACAUUAUACUUUGUGUUUUUAGUAGAAAAAGAGGUUGGGACAG
RNAcentral lists this unclassified non-coding RNA (1180 nucleotides) under Hevea brasiliensis (rubber tree). Lineage: Eukaryota; Viridiplantae; Streptophyta; Magnoliopsida; Malpighiales; Euphorbiaceae. The record is from RNAcentral.